Molecule: long non-coding RNA, 396 nt
Organism: Rhagoletis zephyria (snowberry fruit fly)
Lineage: Eukaryota; Metazoa; Arthropoda; Insecta; Diptera; Tephritidae
Source: RefSeq, a predicted model, not a curated record
AUGCUCUGGUGCUACUUGUCGUGGUGAAUAUAUAUUUCUAUUUAUUUUCUUCUGUUUACGCGAAAUACAAUCUGCAAGAACAAGGGAUAUGGCGGAGGAAUGCUUUUUAAGCAUCUUGGCGAUGAACUGUUUACCUUCUGGAUAUUUGCAAUCUCAUUUGCAAAAGAUAUGACACACACACUGCCACUUUAAGGUAUUUCUUUUCUGAGGAAUUAUGUAGCAAAACGAAGAGGAGCCGUGCAAAAUUUCGGGCAGCUGUUUCUUGCAAGUUCAUGGGUACGAAGGUCGAUGAGGGUCAAUGUUCUGCAACAUGAACCAAUGUCAUUAGUGUACGGUGAUGACGAUGUUGUGAAAUUAGGUUGGCUAGGAUUCCAACAAUGAAAUGAUGAAAAACAU